CCUACGGGAGGCAGCAGUGGGGAAUAUUGCACAAUGGGGGAAACCCUGAUGCAGCGACGCCGCGUGAGUGAAGAAGUAUCUCGGUACGUAAAGCUCUAUCGUCAGGGAAGAAAAUGACGGUACCUGACUAAUAAGCCCCGGCUAACUACGUGCCAGCAGCCGCGGUAAUACGGAGGGGGCAAGCGUUAUCCGGAUUUACUGGGUGUAAAGGGAGCGUAGGCGGGAGAACAAGUCUGGAGUGAAAUCCCGGGGCUUAACCCCGGAACUGCAUUGGAAACUGUGCGGCUGGAGUGCAGGAGGGGUAAGCGGAAUUCUUGGUGUAGCGGUGAAAUGCGUAGAGAUUAGGAGGAAUACCGGUGGCGAAGGCGACUUACUGGAAUGUAACUGACGUUGAGGCGCGAAAGCGUGGGGAGCAAACAGGAUUAGAUACCCGAGUAGUC
This 440-nucleotide ribosomal RNA is filed under the name uncultured bacterium. RNAcentral describes it as "partial 16S ribosomal RNA". It matches the Rfam family "Bacterial small subunit ribosomal RNA", at positions 338 to 795 of the family's 1533-position model. The record is from RNAcentral.